RNAcentral lists this small RNA (76 nucleotides) under Pongo abelii (Sumatran orangutan). The record is from RNAcentral. Lineage: Eukaryota; Metazoa; Chordata; Mammalia; Primates; Hominidae.
ACCAGGCGCAGUGUGCACUUCUGUAGUCCCAGCUACUUGGGAGGCUGAGGCAGGAGAAUCGCUUGAACCCAGGAGG